RNAcentral lists this unclassified non-coding RNA (448 nucleotides) under Hevea brasiliensis (rubber tree). Lineage: Eukaryota; Viridiplantae; Streptophyta; Magnoliopsida; Malpighiales; Euphorbiaceae. The record is from RNAcentral.
CAAAUCCAAAACAUGAUUAGACAUUUUCAAAAGAUAAUAAUCAUUAAUGAGAACAGCCUAUGGUAAUGUGCAGAAAAUGUUGAAUAGACAUCUGGAAGUAUCAGCAAGUAUUGGUACCAGAUUGAACCCACUACACUGGGGAGAUCGAACCAUUUAUGCUUCCCACAUCUUAUUUAUGACAGGUUAGUGGGGGCUAUUAAAUGCACUGGCAGUUAAGCAUGAGGUAAAGAAUAUCAUGGUGGUUAACUAAGAAAAACCAUAAAUAUUGAAGCUGUAAAACUUCUUAAUCGAAUAUUUUCAUACAACCUAUCUACAUCUAGCUAAUCAUGUGGAUUAGUCUCUGAAUUCAUGAAAGGUGCACAGCAUCAUUAACUGAAUACUAGAAUAGGUCUUGAUCCUUAGAUUUUGUAUAUCACUUGAAAUGAUGUUGCAGACUGUAAACCCUUAU